Molecule: ribosomal RNA, 2076 nt
Filed under: human gut metagenome
Description: bacterial LSU rRNA
Rfam family: Bacterial large subunit ribosomal RNA
Source: RNAcentral
CAAUCGAACCCGGAGAUAGCUGGUUCUCCUCGAAAUAGCUUUAGGGCUAGCCUCGCAUUAGUUUACCGGAGGUAGAGCACUGAAUGGUCUAGGGGGCCUCACCGCCUACCGAAACCUAUCAAACUGCGAAUGCCGGAUAAAUGAUGUGCGGGAGUCAGGCCGCGAGAGAUAAGUUCCGCGGUCAAAAGGGGAACACCCCAGAUCGUCUGCUAAGGUCCCUAAGUACGCGUUAAGUGGGAAAGGAUGUUGGAUUGCACAGACAACCAGGAUGUUGGCUUAGAAGCAGCCACACAUUCAAAGAGUGCGUAAUAGCUCACUGGUCGAGUGAUCCAGCGCCGAAAAUGUAACGGGGCUAAAACGCGACACCGAAGCAGCGGGAUGCGUAAGCAUCGGUAGAGGAGCAUUGUGUGAGGGUUGAAGCCAGAGCGGGAGCACUGGUGGACUUCACAGAAGAGAGAAUGCCGGUAUGAGUAGCGAGACCCAUGCGAGAAACAUGGGCGUCGAAGGCCCAAGGUUUCCUGGGGAAGGUUCAUCCACCCAGGGUAAGUCGGGACCUAAGCCGAGGACUGAGGUCGUAGGCGAUGGACAGCAGGUAGAGAUUCCUGCACCACUUACACUUGUUUGACGAAGCAGUGACACAGAAGGAUAGGACGAGCGCGGUGAUGGUCAACCGCGUAGGCGGCACGAGGCCGGGAAGCAGUGAAGUACACUUCCCGCAAAGGCUGAGUGUUGACAGGACCGAAAAGAAGUAGGGAAGCGUCCGAGUUCACGCUGGCGAGAAAAGCUGCUAAGGAGAGUGUGAGUGCCCGUACCGGAAACCGACGCAGGUGGGCGAGGAGAGAAUCCUGAGACGGACGGGAGAACUCUUGUUAAGGAACUCGGCAAAAUGACCCCGUAACUUCGGGAGAAGGGGUGCCUCGAAAGAGGCCGCAGAGAAUAGUCACAAGCGACUGUUUAGCAAAAACACAGGUAUCUGCGAAAGCGAGAGCUGACGUAUAGGUGCUGACGCCUGCCCGGUGCUGGAAGGUUAAGGGGAAGUGUUAGGGGAAACCCGAAGCAGAGAACCGAAGCCCCAGUAAACGGCGGCCGUAACUAUAACGGUCCUAAGGUAGCGAAAUUCCUUGUCGGGUAAGUUCCGACCCGCACGAAUGGCGUAACGACUUGUGAGCUGUCUCAACAGGAGGCCCGGUGAAAUUGAAGUAUGUGUGAAGAUGCACAUUACCCGCGACUGGACGGAAAGACCCCGUAGAGCUUUACUGUAACCUGACAUUGGAUCUUGAUAACGGAUGCACAGGAUAGGUGGGACGCUGGGAGACGAGGACUUUGGUUUUCGUGGAGCGGCCGUUGGGAUACCACUCUUCUGUUAUUGAGAUUCUAACCUCAAGCCGUGAGCCGGAUGAGAGACAGUGUCAGGCGGACAGUUUGACUGGGGCGGUCGCCUCCGAAAGAGUAACGGAGGCGCCCAAAGGUACCCUCAGAAUGGAUGGAAACCAUUCGAAGAGAGCAAAGUCAGAAGGGUGCUUGACUGCGAGACCAACAAGUCGAGCAGGUACGAAAGUAGGGCUUAGUGAUCCGGCGGUAAGAGAGUGGAAUUGCCGUCGCUCAACGGAUAAAAGCUACCUCGGGGAUAACAGGCUGAUCUCCCCCAAGAGUUCACAUCGACGGGGAGGUUUGGCACCUCGAUGUCGGCUCGUCGCAUCCUGGGGCUGAAGCAGGUCCCAAGGGUUUGGCUGUUCGCCAAUUAAAGCGGCACGCGAGCUGGGUUCAGAACGUCGUGAGACAGUUCGGUCCCUAUCCAUCGUGGGCGAAGGACACAUGAGAGGAGCUGCUCCUAGUACGAGAGGACCGGAGUGGACGCAUCACUGGUGCAACUGUUGUCGUGCCAACGGCACAGCAGGGAAGCGAAAUGCGGACGGGAUAAACGCUGAAGGCAUCUAAGCGUGAAGCCCACCUCAAGAAUAAGUGUCCCAUUCGAAAGAAGUAAGACCCCUGGAAGACUACCAGGUGAUAGGUCAUCGGUGAAAGAGUGGUAACAUUUGGAGCUUGAUGAUACUAAUCGGUCGAGGACUUGAUCUA